GAUGAACGCUAGCGGCAGGCUUAACACAUGCAAGUCGAGGGGUAACAGUCUUGAUUUAUCAAGAGCUGACGACCGGCGCACGGGUGCGCAACGCGUAUAGAACCUACCUUUUACAGAGGAAUAGCCCGAAGAAAUUUGGAUUAAUGCCUCAUAUAAUUUUCCUAUGGCAUCAUAAGAAGAUAAAAGAUUUAUCGGUAAAAGAUGGCUAUGCGUUCUAUUAGUUAGUUGGCGAGUUAACAGCUCCCCAAGACAUCGAUAGAUAGGGGUCCUGAGAGGGAGAUCCCCCACACUGGUACUGAGACACGGACCAG
This 311-nucleotide ribosomal RNA is filed under the name uncultured bacterium. RNAcentral's name for it is "bacterial SSU rRNA". It matches the Rfam family "Bacterial small subunit ribosomal RNA", at positions 28 to 334 of the family's 1533-position model. The record is from RNAcentral.